GAGCCCUUCUCUACAGCACCAUUCUCUCUCACAUCACCCUCUUUAAAUUCUUUGCACAUUACUCAUCACGACUGUUGGUAUUUAUUUGCUUCCUAUCUGUCUCCCCCACUGCAAUGUGAGCUUACAGGGAGUCAGGACCUUCUUUUGUCUCAUUCACUGCUGCAUCCCCAGUGAUUAAAGUCCUUCUCAAUUAAGGAAUGAGUGAAUGAGAAAGGCCACACAGGCACCAGUGACAAAAAUGAGCUGACAGGCGAUGCUUCCCUGUAAUUACCUCCAGAAGGAGAAAGGUCCCCUUGAUUCUGGAUAAAUAUAGAACCAAGACUAAGUGAAAUGCUGGGAAAUAAAGCCAUGGGAUUUAGGAAGUUGGUUUCAUGAGACCUGUGAAUUCAUGGAAGACAGGGACGUUCUCAUCCACAUCUUUACAGAAAUUAGAGCAGACUCCAGAACAUGAAUAGAACUCAAUAAAGGAUUGAGCAAACAGA
Eptesicus fuscus (big brown bat) is the source of this 482-nucleotide long non-coding RNA. RefSeq lists it as uncharacterized. NCBI's taxonomy places the organism in Eukaryota, Metazoa, Chordata, Mammalia, Chiroptera, Vespertilionidae. The transcript is spliced from 2 exons. The record is from RefSeq and is a predicted model, not a curated record.